This 810-nucleotide ribosomal RNA is filed under the name uncultured Campylobacter sp. Its description in RNAcentral is "bacterial SSU rRNA". It matches the Rfam family "Bacterial small subunit ribosomal RNA", at positions 406 to 1232 of the family's 1533-position model. The record is from RNAcentral. Lineage: Bacteria; Pseudomonadati; Campylobacterota; Epsilonproteobacteria; Campylobacterales; Campylobacteraceae.
GGAUGACACUUUUCGGAGCGUAAACUCCUUUUAUCAGGAAAGAAUAAUGACGGUACUGAUGAAUAAGCACCGGCUAACUCCGUGCCAGCAGCCGCGGUAAUACGGGGGGUGCAAGCGUUACUCGGAAUCACUGGGCGUAAAGGACGCGUAGGCGGAUUAUCAAGUCUUUUGUGAAAUCUAGUGGCUUAACCACUAAACUGCUUAGGAAACUGAUAGUCUAGAGUAGGGGAGAGGUAGAUGGAAUUCUUGGUGUAGGGGUAAAAUCCGUAGAGAUCAAGAAGAAUACCAUUGCGAAAGCGAUCUGCUGGAACCUAACUGACGCUGAGGCGUGAAAGCGUGGGUAGCAAACAGGAUUAGAUACCCUGGUAGUCCACGCCCUAAACGAUGUAUACUAGUUGUUGCUUUGCUAGUCAAGGCAGUAAUGCAGCUAACGCAUUAAGUAUACCGCCUGGGGAGUACGGUCGCAAGAUUAAAACUCAAAGGAAUAGACGGGGACCCGCACAAGCGGUGGAGCAUGUGGUUUAAUUCGAAGAUACGCGAAGAACCUUACCUGGACUUGACAUCCUAAAAACAUCUAAGAGAUUAGAAAGUGCUAGUUUACUAGAAUUUAGUGACAGGUGCUGCACGGCUGUCGUCAGCUCGUGUCGUGAGAUGUUGGGUUAAGUCCCGCAACGAGCGCAACCCACGUGUUUAGUUGCUAACAGCUCGGCUGAGCACUCUAAACAGACUGCCUUCGUAAGGAGGAGGAAGGUGUGGACGACGUCAAGUCAUCAUGGCCCUUAUGUCCAGGGCGACACACGUGCUACAAUG